UUUAAAUUACGGCAUAUCAAAUUACUAAAAAUGUAUAGUAAUCAGUAUUAUUCAAGUAAUGUACUUAAUAAAAAAAUAAAAAUAUAUUUAAAGUAGUUGAGUAAAGUAAAAAAUAUAUUUAAAGUAGUUGAGUAAAGUAAAAAUAUAUUAAAAGCAUUCAAUUUAGUAUUCUGUAUCUAUAAAUAUAUUAAAAAGGGUUAAUUUCAAACAACUUCCUAUAAGCAUAUCAAAAAACAAAUAUAUCCCUAUAAAGUUUAACUUUUCAUAUUUAUCUCUUCAAAAGUUCAGUGAUAUUCAUAUUUGCCCCUUUGGUUUAUUGCCGAUAGAGUGUUGCUUAUUUUUUAAUCGAAAAUAAGUGAAAUCAUAUUUUUGUCUUUACAAAUUAAUAUGUCCCUCCAAAAAUCCCUAUUGUUUGAAUUAUACAGAAGUAUCCUUCUAAAAAUCUUUAACCGUCAUUUUCUUUCUUUCUGCUAUCACAAAUAAUAUAAAGGGGUAAAAAGGUUAAUUUAUCUCAUUCACUAAUCAAGAUUAAGUAUUUUAUGUGUAGUUAACUAUAUUUUUCUGAGGAUCCUAAUAGCUGGAUAUAUUUGAAAACGUUAGAAUUUUUAUAAGAAUAAAUAUAAAGAGUUGAACUUUAUAGAAAUAUAUGUGCUAUUCAAUAUGUUUACAAGAAGCUACAUACAAUUAAUCCUAUUAAAAACUACGUAAUCAUAUCAAUAUAUUAUUUUGCGGGGAUCAAAAAUUUUGCAAGACAUGG
RNAcentral lists this long non-coding RNA (757 nucleotides) under Ananas comosus (pineapple). Its description in RNAcentral is "long non-coding RNA (ACOM_LNC030847)". The record is from RNAcentral. Lineage: Eukaryota; Viridiplantae; Streptophyta; Magnoliopsida; Poales; Bromeliaceae.